UACGUAGGUGGCGAGCGUUGUCCGGAUUUACUGGGCGUAAAGCGCGCGCAGGCGGUUCGUUAAGUCCGGUGUGAAAGCUCCCGGCUCAACUGGGAGAGGUCAUUGGAUACUGGCGGACUUGAGGGAUGCAGAGGAAGGUGGAAUUCCCGGUGUAGUGGUGAAAUGCGUAGAGAUCGGGAGGAACACCAGUGGCGAAGGCGGCCUUCUGGGCAUUUCCUGACGCUGAGGCGCGAAAGCGUGGGGAGCGAACAGG
RNAcentral lists this ribosomal RNA (253 nucleotides) under uncultured bacterium. RNAcentral describes it as "partial 16S ribosomal RNA". It matches the Rfam family "Bacterial small subunit ribosomal RNA", at positions 524 to 776 of the family's 1533-position model. The record is from RNAcentral.